Molecule: ribosomal RNA, 443 nt
Filed under: uncultured bacterium
Lineage: Bacteria
Description: partial 16S ribosomal RNA
Rfam family: Bacterial small subunit ribosomal RNA
Source: RNAcentral
CCUACGGGUGGCAGCAGUGGGGAAUAUUGGGCAAUGGGCGCAAGCCUGACCCAGCAACGCCGCGUGAAGGAAGAAGGCUUUCGGUUUGUAAACUUCUUUUCUCAGGGACGAAGCAAGUGACGGUACCUGAGGACUAAGCCUCGGCUAACUACGUGCCAGCAGCCGCGUUAAUACGUAGGUGGCAAGCGUUAUACGGAUUUACUGGGUGUAAAGGGCGCGUAGGCGGGACUGCAAGUCAGAUGUGAAAAUCACGGGCUCAACCUGUGGCCUGCAUUUGAAACUGUAGUUCUUGAGUACUGGAGAGGCAGACGGAAUUCCUAGGGUAGCGGUGAAAUGCGUAGAUAUUAGGAGGAACACCAGUGGCGAAGGCGGUCUGCUGGACAGCAACUGACGCUGAGGCGCGAAAGCGUGGGGAGCAAACAGGAUUAGAUACCCGGGUAGUC